Molecule: ribosomal RNA, 1369 nt
Filed under: uncultured bacterium
Lineage: Bacteria
Description: bacterial SSU rRNA
Rfam family: Bacterial small subunit ribosomal RNA
Source: RNAcentral
GACGAACGCUGGCGGCGUGCCUAAUACAUGCAAGUAGAACGCUGAAGAGAGGAGCUUGCUCUUCUUGGAUGAGUUGCGAACGGGUGAGUAACGCGUAGGUAACCUGCCUUGUAGCGGGGGAUAACUAUUGGAAACGAUAGCUAAUACCGCAUAACAAUGGAUGACACAUGUCAUUUAUUUGAAAGGGGCAAUUGCUCCACUACAAGAUGGACCUGCGUUGUAUUAGCUAGUAGGUGAGGUAAUGGCUCACCUAGGCGACGAUACAUAGCCGACCUGAGAGGGUGAUCGGCCACACUGGGACUGAGACACGGCCCAGACUCCUACGGGAGGCAGCAGUAGGGAAUCUUCGGCAAUGGGGGCAACCCUGACCGAGCAACGCCGCGUGAGUGAAGAAGGUUUUCGGAUCGUAAAGCUCUGUUGUAAGUCAAGAACGGGUGUGAGAAUGGAAAGUUCACACUGUGACGGUAGCUUACCAGAAAGGGACGGCUAACUACGUGCCAGCAGCCGCGGUAAUACGUAGGUCCCGAGCGUUGUCCGGAUUUAUUGGGCGUAAAGCGAGCGCAGGCGGUUUGAUAAGUCUGAAGUUAAAGGCUGUGGCUCAACCAUAGUUCGCUUUGGAAACUGUCAAACUUGAGUGCAGAAGGGGAGAGUGGAAUUCCAUGUGUAGCGGUGAAAUGCGUAGAUAUAUGGAGGAACACCGGUGGCGAAAGCGGCUCUCUGGUCUGUAACUGACGCUGAGGCUCGAAAGCGUGGGGAGCGAACAGGAUUAGAUACCCUGGUAGUCCACGCCGUAAACGAUGAGUGCUAGGUGUUGGAUCCUUUCCGGGAUUCAGUGCCGCAGCUAACGCAUUAAGCACUCCGCCUGGGGAGUACGACCGCAAGGUUGAAACUCAAAGGAAUUGACGGGGGCCCGCACAAGCGGUGGAGCAUGUGGUUUAAUUCGAAGCAACGCGAAGAACCUUACCAGGUCUUGACAUCCCGAUGCUAUUUCUAGAGAUAGAAAGUUACUUCGGUACAUCGGUGACAGGUGGUGCAUGGUUGUCGUCAGCUCGUGUCGUGAGAUGUUGGGUUAAGUCCCGCAACGAGCGCAACCCCUAUUGUUAGUUGCCAUCAUUCAGUUGGGCACUCUAGCGAGACUGCCGGUAAUAAACCGGAGGAAGGUGGGGAUGACGUCAAAUCAUCAUGCCCCUUAUGACCUGGGCUACACACGUGCUACAAUGGUUGGUACAACGAGUUGCGAGUCGGUGACGGCGAGCUAAUCUCUUAAAGCCAAUCUCAGUUCGGAUUGUAGGCUGCAACUCGCCUACAUGAAGUCGGAAUCGCUAGUAAUCGCGGAUCAGCACGCCGCGGUGAAUACGUUCCCGGGCCU